Molecule: ribosomal RNA, 253 nt
Filed under: uncultured bacterium
Lineage: Bacteria
Description: partial 16S ribosomal RNA
Rfam family: Bacterial small subunit ribosomal RNA
Source: RNAcentral
UACGUAGGGGGCAAGCGUUAUCCGGAUUUACUGGGUGUAAAGGGAGCGUAGACGGCGAUGCAAGUCUGAAGUGAAAGCCCGGGGCUCAACCCCGGGACUGCUUUGGAAACUGUAUGGCUGGAGUGCUGGAGAGGCAAGCGGAAUUCCUAGUGUAGCGGUGAAAUGCGUAGAUAUUAGGAAGAACACCAGUGGCGAAGGCGGCUUGCUGGACAGUAACUGACGUUGAGGCUCGAAAGCGCGGGGAGCAAACAGG